Molecule: small nuclear RNA, 94 nt
Filed under: Marmota monax (woodchuck)
Lineage: Eukaryota; Metazoa; Chordata; Mammalia; Rodentia; Sciuridae
Source: RNAcentral
AUAUAUAUAUACUAAAAUUGGAAUGAUACAGAGAAGAUUAACAUGGCCCCUGUGCAAGGAUAACAUGCAAAUUCAUGAAGCGUUCCGUAUUUUA